Long non-coding RNA from Lolium perenne, 2724 nucleotides. RefSeq lists it as uncharacterized. The record is from RefSeq and is a predicted model, not a curated record. NCBI's taxonomy places the organism in Eukaryota, Viridiplantae, Streptophyta, Magnoliopsida, Poales, Poaceae.
UCCUAUUCUUGAGCUUGGCUGUGUAUUCGAGGUUUAGUGCCUAUUUCUGGAUUGGCGGUUUAAAUGAGCCCUGUAGAUUGUUUGGGGAUUGAUUUUAAGGUGAGCCAUGGGUUCUUAGAUCGUACCUAUGAUAAAUUUGGGGGUUUCAGGUUUCCACAUAGAUCUAUCCAUCUCUUUCAAUCUGCAGGGAUAUUGUGGUUAAGUAAAAUGGUGGAAAAAAGGGAAAAUCUGGCCAGUUUGAGAAAAAUACAUGGAUGUCAUCAUACAGUUAUAAUGUUCCGAAUGGUUUCAGAAACAUCUUUGCAUUUUCUUCCAAUUUGUUAACAAUGAAGAGUACGUUCAUGUAGACCUGUACUGUUGUUUUUCUUUUUAGUAUAGUGAGAGGUAUUUAUGUCGAUUCAGUUGGACUGUUUGUACUUCUUCAUUACAGAUCCCUGGUAGUGUCCCUUGCAGAUUUUGUAAUUGACUUUUUCUGAUUAGCAGAUUAUUUUUCACCAUCUAUGUAGUCCUUUUACAUGAAGAAUUCAUUAUUUUGGAGCUUGAGAGAUGAACAAGAAUUUUAGAGGCAACAAUACUGAAUAUAUCUAUUGUAGGCCCGUUGAGUGAUCAACCUGGCCUCUUUCUUUACAGCAGGUUUCUGUUGCCAUUGUUUUCAUUGAGGUUUGCAGUCCACCAAUCUAUUUACCGGGCACAGAUGAAUCUAUUCUGAAGUGUGGAGAGAUAUCACACUCUUCUUCCUUUUCUGGUACAUGGGUGCUUCCAAUUGAAGUGCUCAUUUGUUUCUUUGAGUAUCCAUCAGUUAUUUGGACCUUCUAUGAUCUCUGUGUUUACAACUUGAUUUCAGUUUACAGAGAUUUAUUUAUGUUUGUAGGCUACUCAUAUUGAUGAUUGAUGAUGUGGCCGGUUGGUAUUCUUCCAGUCGUCAUCUGGUCACCUCUCCUUCUGGUUUGCGUGCUCUGCCUCGACGUUUGAAGACUUAUAUCCAGAUCAGAUACUCUUCGAUGUUGUACAACUGCUCCAUUAAACGCACACCUCAGCAUGCCAUUAAAACAGUAUACAUAAAGGUACCCCACAGAAUCACACACAUCAAGUUUGUGUUUUCAUUGGCAAUUUCAAACCAUGUUGUCCUCAAACAUUUUUGCGGUCUCCAAUCAAAGAACAAGAAAUAUUCAUAUGUAGCAGGUCAUUAUUCCCCUUAAUAGCCAACUUAACAGGGAUUAAUGAAAAUUUUGUUCACCCGUCUGGGUUAUAUUUGCGAUCAGCCUACUUCAAUACCAUGUCAAAAGCCUAACAUUUGUUGCGCUAAUGUCUUUUUACAUAUGAACAUAGAUCUGUCAUGAAAUGUUUGAGUUGGGUUCAAACUUCUUUCUGAAUGUCUGAUCAUAAAUCGGCCACAUCACCAGGUAGGAUGGCAUCUCCACUCAUUUCAGUGUUCAUCAUUUGGUCUAUCACCAGUGAGACUAUCAAAUCUUCAAUAUUAAAGCUUAUUCCAAGACUUUGGUUGGUAGUUCUGUAGUUGAUCAAGUAGUUUCAUCCAGUAGCCUGACUUGGUGUUCUUAUUUUUGCAGAAAAUGCAUGUUGUCAAUUAGAUUGCAGAUUAGAAAGAGCCACUCUCCUUUAGGCCAGCGGUGGUUGCACAAAAAAUUCUCUAGGAAACCAAGCAAACUUCCAUUAUUCCCAACUUUGUUUUGUUCUUUCUGACCUAUAACUGAACUAGAGUACUUGAUUCUGAUCAGUGGGUAGUGUAAUUUUUUUUCAACUAUUAAAUAUCUUUAGAAGAUGGCCUGCUCCUGUUUUGGAGAGUGUAAUGCUCGGUUUGUCUGCUUCUCUGUCUUACUUAGCAGUUAGCAGUGCAGUCACUAAGUAGUCAGUCACUUAUGCAAUCACCACCGGAAAUAUCUUGCCUUUUCUUUUUCCCAAUUUUGUUUUGUUCUUUCUGACCUAUAACUGAACUAGAUGACUUGAUUCUGAUCAACGGGUAGUGUAAUUUUUUUCAAGUAUUAAGUCCCUUUAGAAGAUGACCUACUCCAGUUUUUGAGAGUGUAAUGCUCGGUUUGUCUGCUUCUCUGUCUCUUACUUAGCAGUGCAAUCACUUAUUAGUCAGUCACUUAUGCAACCACCACUGGAAAUAUUUCCUCUUCAUUAUCAAGAUCAUGAUUUAUAGUGUGAUUCUUCUGUAGUGCCGGUGAACUAAGCGGGUUUGAUGAACACAUGUUGGUGUUGUUGCAGGUUAAGAGUUUUAGUGUCAGAUGAGGGAAUUGGAUAGCUCCUACAUGUUCGUUGUUUCUUAAGUGUGGAUGUUUCUUAAGUGCAGUGAUGGAUAUAUACUAUAUACAUGUAAAGGUAACUCAAAGGAUCACACGUGAACUUCAUAAUUUCGUUGGCAGCUUCAAGAAAAGCAACCUACAUCUCAACUGGGACCUUCCGAUCUUCAAUAUAGACUUCCAAGUGUUCUGUUGUUUUGAUCAGCUCAGCGGACAUCUAACGACAUUUUGGUUCCAUGACUCCAUGAGGCCUCCUACUCUUUGCAUGUUUUAUGCAAAGUGCAACGAGUUUAGGCUGCACAAGAUGUACAUGCAAAUGUGGUCAUAUUCUCAAAAGUUCAAGCAUAGGAUUUCUUAGCUCUUCUGAUAGAAGGGUUGAUUGACAGAAAACUAAGCCUCACUUUCUGUAUAAAAUGUACUGGUUCUUUCUUUUUGCAAUAUAGAACAGUAGCUAACCAAA